This 74-nucleotide transfer RNA is filed under the name Hyphomicrobiaceae bacterium. RNAcentral's name for it is "tRNA-Met". It matches the Rfam family "tRNA". From Rfam's summary of the family: Transfer RNA (tRNA) molecules are approximately 80 nucleotides in length. Their secondary structure includes four short double-helical elements and three loops (D, anti-codon, and T loops). Further hydrogen bonds mediate the characteristic L-shaped molecular structure. tRNAs have two regions of fundamental functional importance: the anti-codon, which is responsible for specific mRNA codon recognition, and the 3' end, to which the tRNAs corresponding amino acid is attached (by aminoacyl-tRNA synthetases). tRNAs cope with the degeneracy of the genetic code in two manners: having more than one tRNA (with a specific anti-codon) for a particular amino acid; and 'wobble' base-pairing, i.e. permitting non-standard base-pairing at the 3rd anti-codon position. Lineage: Bacteria; Pseudomonadati; Pseudomonadota; Alphaproteobacteria; Hyphomicrobiales; Hyphomicrobiaceae. The record is from RNAcentral.
CGCAGAGUAGGGAAGUCUGGUAUCCCGCUUGGCUCAUAAUCAAGAGACCGCUGGUUCAAAUCCAGCCUCUGCCA